This 478-nucleotide ribosomal RNA is filed under the name uncultured Acaulospora. Its description in RNAcentral is "SSU rRNA". It matches the Rfam family "Eukaryotic small subunit ribosomal RNA", at positions 569 to 1049 of the family's 1831-position model. The record is from RNAcentral. Lineage: Eukaryota; Fungi; Glomeromycota; Glomeromycetes; Diversisporales; Acaulosporaceae.
AGCAGCCGCGGUAAUUCCAGCUCCAAUAGCGUAUAUUAAAGUUGUUGCAGUUAAAAAGCUCGUAGUUGAAUUUCGGGGUCUGUCCAUUGGUCGGGCUUCACGGUCCGUACAGGUGUGAUGGGUUCCUACCUUCUGAAUAACCAGCAUGCCAUUUAGUUGGUGCGCCGGGGAAGCAGAGCUAUUACCUUGAAAAAAUUAGAGUGCUUAAAGCAGGCUAGUGCUUGAAUAGAUUAGCAUGGAAUAAUAAAAUAGGACGGCAUGGUUCUAUUUUGUUGGUUUCUAGGAUCACCGUAAUGAUUAAUAGGGAUAGUUGGGGGCAUUAGUAUUCAAUUGUCAGAGGUGAAAUUCUUGGAUUUAUUGAAGACUAACUUCUGCGAAAGCAUUUGCCAAGGAUGUUUUCAUUAAUCAAGAACGAAAGUUAGGGGAUCGAAGACGAUCAGAUACCGUCGUAGUCUUAACCAUAAACUAUGCUGACUAG